RNAcentral lists this transfer RNA (73 nucleotides) under Fukomys damarensis (Damara mole-rat). It matches the Rfam family "tRNA". Rfam says of the family: Transfer RNA (tRNA) molecules are approximately 80 nucleotides in length. Their secondary structure includes four short double-helical elements and three loops (D, anti-codon, and T loops). Further hydrogen bonds mediate the characteristic L-shaped molecular structure. tRNAs have two regions of fundamental functional importance: the anti-codon, which is responsible for specific mRNA codon recognition, and the 3' end, to which the tRNAs corresponding amino acid is attached (by aminoacyl-tRNA synthetases). tRNAs cope with the degeneracy of the genetic code in two manners: having more than one tRNA (with a specific anti-codon) for a particular amino acid; and 'wobble' base-pairing, i.e. permitting non-standard base-pairing at the 3rd anti-codon position. Lineage: Eukaryota; Metazoa; Chordata; Mammalia; Rodentia; Bathyergidae. The record is from Rfam by way of RNAcentral.
UGGAGUGUGGCUCAGUAGCAGAGUACUUGUCUAGCAUGUCCAAGAGCCUUGGGUUUGAUCCCCAACACAGCAA